GAUGAACGCUGGCGGCGUGCCUAAUACAUGCAAGUCGAGCGAACGGACGAGAAGCUUGCUUCUCUGAUGUUAGCGGCGGACGGGUGAGCAACACGUGGAUAACCUACCUAUAAGACUGGGAUAACUUCGGGAAACCGGAGCUAAUACCGGAUAAUAUUUUGAACCGCAUGGUUCAAAAGUGAAAGACGGUCUUGCUGUCACUUAUAGAUGGAUCCGCGCUGCAUUAGCUAGUUGGUAAGGCAACGGCUUACCAAGGCAACGAUGCAUAGCCGACCUGAGAGGGUGAUCGGCCACACUGGAACUGAGACACGGUCCAGACUCCUACGGGAGGCAGCAGUAGGGAAUCUUCCGCAAUGGGCGAAAGCCUGACGGAGCAACGCCGCGUGAGUGAUGAAGGUCUUCGGAUCGUAAAACUCUGUUAUUAGGGAAGAACAUAUGUGUAAGUAACUGUGCACAUCUUGACGGUACCUAAUCAGAAAGCCACGGCUAACUACGUG
Molecule: ribosomal RNA, 497 nt
Filed under: uncultured bacterium
Lineage: Bacteria
Description: partial 16S ribosomal RNA
Rfam family: Bacterial small subunit ribosomal RNA
Source: RNAcentral